GGUAGCUCAGUGGUAGAGCAGUUGACUGUUAAUCAAUUGGUCGCUGGUUCGAAUCCGGCC
Molecule: transfer RNA, 60 nt
Filed under: marine eukaryotic metagenome
Rfam family: tRNA
About the family: Transfer RNA (tRNA) molecules are approximately 80 nucleotides in length.
Source: RNAcentral